AGACUCCUCCCGGAGACAGCAGCCCGGGGGAGGUGCAGUGGUUGCUGUAGGUGCCAUUUCCUGUCCAAGGUGACGUCUUCAAAUGCCUUGUUUUGGCCGACCAACGGUCCGAAACCCUUCAAAUUACAGUUACGGCGAAUCCUGACACUCGAGACGCUGGAGCCGGAGAUUGUUUGGCCGUUUUGUUUGAAAGCUGACUUGAACGACUCAAGGAUUCUGAAUAUGAAAAUGAUGUGUGAUCGUGGUGGUGCUGCUCCUUGAGCAGACCUUUUCAUGACUUGUAAAGACAAGCAGGAGGACAAAGCUGAUCGAGGCGACUUACUCCUGUAGCCGAUGCCGAGCUGAAUUUCACGAGAACGUCGGACAACAACACGCAACACCUGCACUUUGGCUUGAUCUGCUGCCCUCCUCUAUAUUCAUCUGUAAUAUUUGUAUGAAUAAACAUCUGUUUUAGAUUGCUUU
Xiphias gladius (swordfish) is the source of this 462-nucleotide long non-coding RNA. RefSeq lists it as uncharacterized. The transcript has 3 exons. The record is from RefSeq and is a predicted model, not a curated record. NCBI's taxonomy places the organism in Eukaryota, Metazoa, Chordata, Actinopteri, Istiophoriformes, Xiphiidae.